CGGGGAGGUAGUGACGAAAAAUAACGAUACGGGACUCAUCCGAGGCCCCGUAAUCGGAAUGAGUACACUUUAAAUCCUUUAACGAGGACCAAUUGGAGGGCAAGUCUGGUGCCAGCAGCCGCGGUAAUUCCAGCUCCAAUAGCGUAUAUUAAAGUUGUUGCGGUUAAAAAGCUCGUAGUUGAAUCUGUGUGUCACAGUGUCGGUUCACCGCUCGCGGUGUUUAACUGGCAUUAUGUGGUACGUCCUAUCGGUGGACUUAGCUCCUUGCGGGCGGUCCAACCAAUAUCCCAUCGCGGUGCUCUUCACUGAGUGUCGAGGUGGGCCGAUACGUUUACUUUGAACAAAUUAGAGUGCUCAAAGCAGGCUACUUUCGCCUGAAUACUGUGUGCAUGGAAUAAUGAAAUAGGACCUCGGUUCUAUUUUGUUGGUUUUCGGAACCCCGAGGUAAUGAUUAAUAGGGACAGAUGGGGGCAUUCGUAUUGCGACGUUAGAGGUGAAAUUCUUGGAUCGUCGCAAGACGGACUAAAGCGAAAGCAUUUGCCAAAAAUGUUUUCAUUAAUCAAGAACGAAAGUUAGAGGUUCGAAGGCGAUCAGAUACCGCCCUAGUUCUAACCAUAAACGAUGCCAGCUAGCGAUCCGCCGAAGUUCCUCCGAUGACUCGGCGGGCAGCUUCCGGGAAACCAAAGCUUUUGGGUUCCGGGGGAAGUAUGGUUGCAAAGCUGAAACUUAAAGGAAUUGACGGAAGGGCACCACCAGGAGUGGAGCCUGCGGCUUAAUUUGACUC
This 784-nucleotide ribosomal RNA is filed under the name Ctenoplectra bequaerti. RNAcentral describes it as "SSU rRNA". It matches the Rfam family "Eukaryotic small subunit ribosomal RNA", at positions 457 to 1201 of the family's 1831-position model. The record is from RNAcentral. Lineage: Eukaryota; Metazoa; Arthropoda; Insecta; Hymenoptera; Apidae.